RNAcentral lists this ribosomal RNA (2625 nucleotides) under human gut metagenome. RNAcentral describes it as "bacterial LSU rRNA". It matches the Rfam family "Bacterial large subunit ribosomal RNA". The record is from RNAcentral.
UUAAGCGACUAAGCGUACACGGUGGAUGCCCUGGCAGUCAGAGGCGAUGAAGGACGUGCUAAUCUGCGAAAAGCGUCGGUAAGGUGAUAUGAACCGUUACAGCCGGCGAUGUCCGAAUGGGGAAACCCAGUGCAAUUCGUUGCACUAUCGUUAACUGAAUACAUAGGUUAACGAGGCGAACCGGGGGAACUGAAACAUCUAAGUACCCCGAGGAAAAGAAAUCAACCGAGAUUCCCCCAGUAGCGGCGAGCGAACGGGGAGCAGCCCAGAGUCUGAAUCAGCUUGUGUGUUAGUGGAACGGUCUGGAAAGUCCGACGGUACAGGGUGAUAGUCCCGUACACCAAAAUGCACAGGUUGUGAACUCGAAGAGUAGGGCGGGACACGUGGUAUCCUGUCUGAAUAUGGGGGGACCAUCCUCCAAGGCUAAAUACUCCUGACUGACCGAUAGUGAACCAGUACCGUGAGGGAAAGGCGAAAAGAACCCCGGCGAGGGGAGUGAAAAAGAACCUGAAACCGUGUACGUACAAGCAGUGGGAGCACCUUCGUGGUGUGACUGCGUACCUUUUGUAUAAUGGGUCAGCGACUUAUAUUCUGUAGCAAGGUUAACCGUAUAGGGGAGCCGCAGGGAAACCGAGUCUUAACUGGGCGUUAAGUUGCAGGGUAUAGACCCGAAACCCGGUGAUCUAGCCAUGGGCAGGUUGAAGGUUGGGUAACACUAACUGGAGGACCGAACCGACUAAUGUUGAAAAAUUAGCGGAUGACUUGUGGCUGGGGGUGAAAGGCCAAUCAAACCGGGAGAUAGCUGGUUCUCCCCGAAAGCUAUUUAGGUAGCGCCUCGUGAACUCAUCUUCGGGGGUAGAGCACUGUUUCGGCUAGGGGGUCAUCCCGACUUACCAACCCGAUGCAAACUACGAAUACCGAAGAAUGUUAUCACGGGAGACACACGGCGGGUGCUAACGUCCGUCGUGAAGAGGGAAACAACCCAGACCGCCAGCUAAGGUCCCAAAGUCAUGGUUAAGUGGGAAACGAUGUGGGAAGGCACAGACAGCCAGGAUGUUGGCUUAGAAGCAGCCAUCAUUUAAAGAAAGCGUAAUAGCUCACUGGUCGAGUCGGCCUGCGCGGAAGAUGUAACGGGGCUAAACCAUGCACCGAAGCUGCGGCAGCGACGCUUAUGCGUUGUUGGGUAGGGGAGCGUUCUGUAAGCCGUUGAAGGUGGCCUGUGAGGGUUGCUGGAGGCAUCAGAAGUGCGAAUGCUGACAUAAGUAACGAUAAAGCGGGUGAAAAGCCCGCUCGCCGGAAGACCAAGGGUUCCUGUCCAACGUUAAUCGGGGCAGGGUGAGUCGACCCCUAAGGCGAGGCCGAAAGGCGUAGUCGAUGGGAAACAGGUUAAUAUUCCUGUACUUGGUGUUACUGCGAAGGGGGGACGGAGAAGGCUAUGUUAGCCGGGCGACGGUUGUCCCGGUUUAAGCAUGUAGGCGGAACGAUUAGGUAAAUCCGGUCGUUUAUUAACGCUGAGGUGUGAUGACGAGGCACUACGGUGCUGAAGUAACAAAUGCCCUGCUUCCAGGAAAAGCCUCUAAGCAUCAGGUAACAUCAAAUCGUACCCCAAACCGACACAGGUGGUCAGGUAGAGAAUACCAAGGCGCUUGAGAGAACUCGGGUGAAGGAACUAGGCAAAAUGGUGCCGUAACUUCGGGAGAAGGCACGCUGGUGUGUAGGUGAAGCCCCUGCGGGUGGAGCUGAGACCAGUCGAAGAUACCAGCUGGCUGCAACUGUUUAUUAAAAACACAGCACUGUGCAAACACGAAAGUGGACGUAUACGGUGUGACGCCUGCCCGGUGCCGGAAGGUUAAUUGAUGGGGUUAGCGGUAACGCGAAGCUCUUGAUCGAAGCCCCGGUAAACGGCGGCCGUAACUAUAACGGUCCUAAGGUAGCGAAAUUCCUUGUCGGGUAAGUUCCGACCUGCACGAAUGGCGUAAUGAUGGCCAGGCUGUCUCCACCCGAGACUCAGUGAAAUUGAACUCGCUGUGAAGAUGCAGUGUACCCGCGGCAAGACGGAAAGACCCCGUGAACCUUUACUAUAGCUUGACACUGAACAUUGAGCCUUGAUGUGUAGGAUAGGUGGGAGGCUUUGAAGCGUGGACGCCAGUCUGCGUGGAGCCAACCUUGAAAUACCACCCUUUAAUGUUUGAUGUUCUAACGUUGGCCCCUUAUCGGGGUUGCGGACAGUGUCUGGUGGGUAGUUUGACUGGGGCGGUCUCCUCCCAAAGCGUAACGGAGGAGCACGAAGGUUAGCUAAUCCUGGUCGGACAUCAGGAGGUUAGUGCAAUGGCAUAAGCUAGCUUGACUGCGAGCGUGACGGCGCGAGCAGGUGCGAAAGCAGGUCAUAGUGAUCCGGUGGUUCUGAAUGGAAGGGCCAUCGCUCAACGGAUAAAAGGUACUCCGGGGAUAACAGGCUGAUACCGCCCAAGAGUUCAUAUCGACGGCGGGGUUUGGCACCUCGAUGUCGGCUCAUCACAUCCUGGGGCUGAAGUAGGUCCCAAGGGUAUGGCUGUUCGCCAUUUAAAGUGGUACGCGAGCUGGGUUUAGAACGUCGUGAGACAGUUCGGUCCCUAUCUGCCGUGG